Molecule: non-coding RNA, 1475 nt
Organism: Misgurnus anguillicaudatus (oriental weatherfish)
Lineage: Eukaryota; Metazoa; Chordata; Actinopteri; Cypriniformes; Cobitidae
Source: RefSeq, a predicted model, not a curated record
CACCCAUCUAUAUCCUCUUAAAUGGUUCACUUACAACUAAUUCAAUCGAAUGCUAUUCAAUUUAUUGCAUGUUUUUUCUUGACUGUUUUUAUGUCAAACAUAGUUCCUCUCAAGUUCCCCUGUCAGAGGAAGCGCAGGUCAUGUGUAGAGUAAUCUGGUAUAGUUGCACAAGGCACUGCUUAACAGAUCACAACAGGUAAGGUAAUUACAGUAAACUGCAAACAGGUUUACUUCACAGCUUGUCUAUUAAACACAACCCCAAUAUAAGCCUUUUUGGGAUUACAAUUAAAAUAUAUGUAGUGCAUUAUAUGGAAAACACUGAGGGGUGGUUUCCUGGACAUGGAUUAGUUUAAGCCAGGACUAGACCUUAGUUUAAUGAGGAAAUAUAACUAGUUUUAACAAACAUGCCUUACUAAAACAAAGGGCACUGAUGUGUUUAAAGAUAUGUCAGUGUUAGUUGUUUUCAGUUUGGACAGCUUUUACAUUUAUUUUAGUCUAGGAAUAGUCUAAUCCCUGUCCGGGAAACCGCCCCUAGGUGUUUUGUUGAAAACAUGGGUGAAGAAAACCUUUUAUGCUAUUUCAGAGCAACAACUGACAUACUGAGCUGAAUAUCAUGUAUAUGCACAUGCAAACAUGUAUGUUAUUUUAUUCAUAUAUGUUUGUUAUACCUAUAUGUGAUUUUAAUACUUUAACAUACAUUUACAUUAGUUACAUGUAGUCAAAGUUGUAUUGAAGGUUGAUGAGUGACUUGCAGAGAGUCAUGCUUUUUUCCAGAAAGAAUGUGAAACAUAUAUGGUUACUGUAUAUAAGUUUUUUUUUUUAAAUAACAUAAUUUGAUUUUACAAACUUAAAGAAUUAUCAUGUGUCAAGUGUUUGGUAUCUACAGGUCAUGUGCAAUGCCAGAGUAAUCCGGUAUGGUUGCACAAGGCACUGCUUAACAGAUCACAACAGGUCAGUUAGCUGGCCACUUCUGAGAUAUGGUGGAUGUUGGAGAGCGUGAGCUGGGCUUCUUGAGCAGGAUACGUGUUUCUGCUCUGCAACCAAAGUUUCCCAAAAACUCCUGUGAUGAGGAUGAGGAUGAACAGAAGACCGCCCAGCACAAACGUCUCCACGGAGGGCAUAUCUGAACCUGAGGUGUGUGCACUUACAGGUUGGCACAUUCCUCCAGUGUUAUGACAGAUCUGGACGUUGCAGUGGAGGAAAACAUCUGUGUAAGACCUGCCAACAAACUUGAACAUCUGUAUCCUAAAAAAAGCUUCAGAUCCUUGACCGUUCUUCAUCACAGCCAGUGUCUGGUCAUUCCACAAGACCGGACAACUGAUUUAAAGAGAAAGAUAGGUGUAUGAUCAAACUCACCAUCUUCAACCUGAACAGCAGAAGUUAGUGUCCAUAUCGACAACAGACACCAGAUCAGCACAGUGACAGGUAUCAUCUUCUCUCCCCAAAUGUUUCCUCCAAAUCGUCUGGAUUAUGAG